This 400-nucleotide ribosomal RNA is filed under the name uncultured Diaphorobacter sp. Its description in RNAcentral is "bacterial SSU rRNA". It matches the Rfam family "Bacterial small subunit ribosomal RNA", at positions 216 to 608 of the family's 1533-position model. Lineage: Bacteria; Pseudomonadati; Pseudomonadota; Betaproteobacteria; Burkholderiales; Comamonadaceae. The record is from RNAcentral.
CGCGGACGGAGCGGCCGAUGGCCGAUUAGGUAGUGGGGGGGAUAAAAGCUUACCAAGCCGACAAUCUGUAGCUGGUCUGAGAGGAUGAUCUGCCACACUGGGACUGAGACACGGCCCAGACUCCUACAGGGGGCAGCAGUGGGGAAUUUUGGACAAUGGGCGAAAGCCUGAUCCAGCCAUGCCGCGUGCAGGAUGAAGGCCUUCGGGUUGUAAACUGCUUUUGUACGGAACGAAAAGCCUCUUUCUAAUAAAGAGGGGUCAUGGCGGUACCGUAAGAAUAAGCACCGGCUAACUACGUGCCAGCAGCCGCGGUAAUACGUAGGGGUGCAAGCGUUAAUCGUAAUUACUGGGCGUAAAGCGUGCGGGGGAGUUUUGUAAGACAGAGGUGAAAUCCCCGGGC